This 764-nucleotide ribosomal RNA is filed under the name uncultured archaeon. RNAcentral's name for it is "bacterial SSU rRNA". It matches the Rfam family "Archaeal small subunit ribosomal RNA", at positions 1 to 767 of the family's 1478-position model. The record is from RNAcentral.
UUCCGGUUUGAUCCUGCCAGAGGCUACUGCUAUCGGGGUUCGAUUAAGCCAWSCGAGUUAAAUGUUCUUCGUGAACAUAGCGAACUGCUCAGUAACACGUGGAUAACCUACCCUUAGGACCGGAAUAACCCCGGGAAACUGGGGAUAAUACCGGAUAAGCCAUAGACGCUGGAAUGCACUAUGGUUCAAAGCUCCGGCGCCUAAGGAUGGAUCUGCGGUCUAUCAGGUUGUAGUGGGUGUAACGUACCUACUAGCCGACGACGGAUACGAGUUGUGAGAGCAAGAGCCCGGAGAUGGAUUCUGAGACACGAAUCCAGGCCCUACGGGGUGCAGCAGGCGCGAACACUUUACAAUGCGGGAAACCGCGAUAAGGGAACCCCGAGUGCCAGCAUCAAAUGUUGGCUGUCCAGAUGAUUAAAAAUCAUUUGUUAGCAAGGGCCGGGCAAGACCGGUGCCAGCCGCCGCGGUAACACCGGCGGCCCGAGUGGUAGCCGUUUUUAUUGGGUCUAAAGGGUCCGUAGCCGGCCUGAUAAGUCCUUUGGGAAAUCUGGCAGCUUAACUGUCAGGCUUCUAAGGGAUACUGUCAGGCUUGGGACCGGAAGAGGUAAGGGGUACUCCAGGGGUAGGAGUGAAAUCUUGUAAUCCCUGGGGGACCAUCUGUGGCGAAGGCGCCUUACCAGAACGGGUCCGACGGUGAGGGACGAAAGCUAGGGGAGCAAACCGGAUUAGAUACCCGGGUAGUCCUAGCUGUAAACGAUGCUCGC